RNAcentral lists this ribosomal RNA (440 nucleotides) under uncultured Pseudomonas sp. RNAcentral describes it as "bacterial SSU rRNA". It matches the Rfam family "Bacterial small subunit ribosomal RNA", at positions 358 to 790 of the family's 1533-position model. The record is from RNAcentral. Lineage: Bacteria; Pseudomonadati; Pseudomonadota; Gammaproteobacteria; Pseudomonadales; Pseudomonadaceae.
GGAAUUUUCCGCAAUGGGCGAAAGCCUGACGGAGCAAUGCCGCGUGUGUGAAGAAGGUCUUCGGAUUGUAAAGCACUUUAAGUUGGGAGGAAGGGCAGUAAAUUAAUACUUUGCUGUUUUGACGUUACCGACAGAAUAAGCACCGGCUAACUCUGUGCCAGCAGCCGCGGUAAUACAGAGGGUGCAAGCGUUAAUCGGAAUUACUGGGCGUAAAGCGCGCGUAGGUGGUUUGUUAAGUUGGAUGUGAAAUCCCCGGGCUCAACCUGGGAACUGCAUUCAAAACUGACUGACUAGAGUAUGGUAGAGGGUGGUGGAAUUUCCUGUGUAGCGGUGAAAUGCGUAGAUAUAGGAAGGAACACCAGUGGCGAAGGCGACCACCUGGACUAAUACUGACACUGAGGUGCGAAAGCGUGGGGAGCAAACAGGAUUAGAUACCCGUG